AUUAUUAUCACACUUAGAUAAUUUUUUAUACAACUCCCUCUUUCUCUUCACUGCUUUUUGUACUUCCUCAUUCCAGCACCAUCCCAGCUUCCAUGCUUCAGACUCGAAAAGCUCAUUUUUUAACUUCACUUGUUUUACUCUUUUGAACUUCCACUACUUUGUUCAAGUUACAAUAUUUCUUCUAGCCUUACUUGAAUUGUUCCUAAAAUUGACAUCUAAGACCACUAAACGAUAUUGACUUAUUAAAGCCUCUUCCGGAAUAACCUUGCAAUACUUGCAUAGAUCUUUAUUUAUCUUCCUGGUUAAAAGGAAAUCAAUUUAACUUCUAUGUUGUCCACUUUUGAAAGUCACUAA
Molecule: unclassified non-coding RNA, 354 nt
Filed under: Hevea brasiliensis (rubber tree)
Lineage: Eukaryota; Viridiplantae; Streptophyta; Magnoliopsida; Malpighiales; Euphorbiaceae
Source: RNAcentral